CCCUCAUGUCAAAGAUGCCAUCACCCACCUUAUGUCAAAUCCAGACUCAGUCCCACUCGCCGGGUUAGUCCUUGAUUUCUUCUGUCUUCCCAUGAUUGAUGUGGCCAAGGAACUGGGCCUCCCUUCUUAUCUAUACCUCACCUCUGGUGCUGGUUUUCUUGGCCUCAUGCUCUACCUCCCAACUCACCAUAGCCAAAUCGGCACUGAGUUUGAAGACUCGGAUCCUGAUCUGGAGCUCCGGAGUUUCGUCAACCCAGUUCCUGUUCGCGUUUUGCCUGAAGCCGUGAGUAACAAGCAUGGUGGUUACGCUGCUUACAUAAAGGUUGCUCAGAGGUUCAGAGAGGCUAGGGGCAUUAUAGUAAAUACGUUUUCUGAGUUGGAGCCUUACGCCGUUGAGUCGUUCGCCGAUGGUCAGACCCCCCCGGUGUACACGGUAGGACCGGUUCUUGACCUCGGGGGUCAGGCUCAUUCCUGUUCAGACCGGGUUGACCACGGUAAGAUCAUGGGGUGGCUUGACGCUCAGCCGGAAUCGUCCGUGGUGUUCCUCUGCUUUGGAAGCAUGGGGACCUUCGACGCGCCCCAGGUGAGGGAGAUCGCCCUUGGGCUCGAGCGCAGCGGCCACAGGUUCCUCUGGGCCCUGCGUCUGCUGAGGCUCGAUGGCAAACUCGGUGGAAGCUCUGACGGCACGGAACUCAGCGAUAUCUUGCCUGAGGGGUUCCUGGAUCGAAUCGGAGAGAGGGGAAUGAUCUGCGAGUGGGCACCGCAAAUGGAAGCGCUGAGCCACAAAUCAAUCGGAGGGUUCCUAUCCCACUGCGGGUGGAACUCCAUCUUAGAGAGCAUAUGGAACAGUGUACCGGUAGCGACCUGGCCCAUGUAUGCAGAACAGCAGCUGAAUGCCUUUGGACUGGUGAAGGAACUGGGAUUAGCAGUGGAAAUGAGACUGGACUAUCGACAGAUUGGGGGAGAAGUAGUAAUGGCGGAAGAGAUAGAUGGUGCAAUAAGAUGUGUGAUGGAGCAUGAUAGCAUGGUGAGGAAAAAGGUGAAAGAAAUGGGAGAGAUGAGCAGGAGGGCUGUGAUGGACGGUGGGUCUUCCUCCAAGUCCCUUGGACGCCUGAUCGCGGAUAUCAUGAAUCAUCCCCAGUUCCCCACUAACACUGUCACUAACUAGUUUAUUGCUUUGUGUGAUCACGUGGGCUUUCUUCUUUCCUUGGUAAUAAAAAAAUGUUAAAUAAAUGAAUAUAAUAAAAUAGAAGAGAGGCGGUGGAAUAAUUGAGUGGAUUGGGUGUUGGACAUGCCAAGACACAAUCAUUACUUGUCAUAGCCUGGCCCACCACUGACCACACCACAAUUCUAUGCUUAUAACGUAAUGUAAUGAGCCCCGAUUAGAUUGGGUUUGAGAACAAUACAAAUUAGUAGGGCAUGUGCCACAAAUUUUGGCAUAACUGGCUUGUAUUUUGGGUCGGAUCAAAUAUUGGCCGGUCCAAACACAAGGCAUUUUACGGUCUUACCCUUCAUGAAAAAUUUAAAGAAAGAAUUAAUGUCUUUUAAAUUUUUUUAUUAAUAUAAAAUAAAGAAAAUAGAUUAAAAUAUAUCAAAAUUUUCAAUAAUAUACAAACAUGUAUGUAUGAUACAAACAUUUCAAUGAAAACAAAAAGAUAUCACCGUGUUUUUUUAUCUUUGUUUGUGCUUAAUUAUAAAGCUACCUUAACAUACGCCUUAAAAAAAAUCUUAUAACAUAUUUUGUGUACUCAUUUAUUGGUUAUUUGAUGCAUUUAAAAAUGAUUUAAGAUUUUACUUUUCCAAAUAUUAUAAGUAGUUUCAUUCUUUCCUCCAAAGUAAAUAAAUAAUUUUUUUAAUUAAUUUAAUUUCAGAGUUUGAGCAAAUCCACAACAUUUUUGUUCAAUUAAUGAAAUGACAUCGUAAUUACAUGUGAAUUAUCAAAUAGAUCUUCACAAAAUCAAGAGUGGAAAAAAUUAAAAAAUAUAUAAACAAUUAAAAAUUUUAAACAUAUUUUAUCAUCAUUAAUAUUAAUACCUUACAUUGUGGUAAAGAUAACAAAAAAAAAAUUUAUUUAUUAGUCAUUUUUAUUUUAUUAAAUAUAUACUUUUAAUUAUUAAGAUAAAAUAAGAUUUUAUUCUUUAAAUUUGAUUGGAUUUCAAUACUUAAAUAAUUAUUUUUUUAUUUAUAUAAUUUUGAUAUUUAUUAUAGAUAAAACUUAAAUAUUUAAUCCAUUUUAAAUUUUACAAAUAUAUAUAUAUAUAUAUUCUAUUCGAUUUCUUAAGUUUGAUAAAAAUCAAUUGGUGUAUUAGAAGAGGAUGAAAACUAUUACCUUGUCGCUAUUUCACAUCACCACUCCCUCUCAACCUUGAACCUUAACCCCCUAAUCGUCAAUAUAGAUCUUUCCCCAAAUGACUCGAUGCUAUAACUCCUUAAUCGAAAUUCAAAAAUGAAACAAUUGAAUUUUCUUCCUCAACCUCUUCUUUUUAAUAUUAGUUGUAUCCGUUAUAAGUUUCUUAACUUUCUAAUAUUAAUUGGAUUGGAUUUUUAAUUUUAAAUUAUUUUUAAAAGUUCGUAAAUUUUAUGAAUCAAAUAUGAUUUGAUUUAAAUUUAUUUAUCUAAAAAGAAUUAAAAAGAUUAAAGAAAAAAAUGUAUUUUAGACUGAUCAUAUAUGAGAAUUUUUUAAAUUAAUAGAUAAAAAGAAUAAAAUAAUAAAUAUAUCCCAUUUUACUUUAUCAAUUUUUUUAUCUAAUUUUUGUUAAAAUUAUAAUUUUAUUCCGUCAUAGAUUUCUUUGAAUUUUAAAAAUAAGUGAAAAUAAUUUUAAUUUAUUAUUGGAAAAAUUAUUAUUUAUUUCGCUCUAUAUUUUAAAUUAGUUUUCAAAAACAACCAUAUGAAUAAUGCAUAAAAUUUUCUUUGUAUAGUUAGUGUAUUUUCAAAAAUGACAAAAUUCUUAAUAAAUGAUAGUCUUGUACACCCAUUUGAAUAAUUAGUGUAUUUUUCUUAUACAAAUAAUGUAAUAACCUUGUAUAGUUAUAUAAAUUUCAUAUAUAUACAUAAAUUAUGUUCACAUAAAUUUCAUACAUAUGCAUAAAUUAUGUUUACCUGAGUAUGUAAACUAUGUUCAUAAUGGUUUGACAUUUAAAAUAAUUAAAACAAAUAAAAUGAUAUUUAUUUUAUUUUUAAUAUAAAAUGUAAUUAAAAAUAAGAUAAAAUUAUUAUUUAAAUCAAAUUUAUUUAUUUAUUUUCUUUCAUUUUUGGAAAUAAAGAAAAAAAAUAAAAAAUUUAUUUAACCAUAAAAAAUAUAAAUAUAAGAUAGGUUAUAAAAUAUCAAAUUUAUUUAUUUCAUUUUAUUUUUGAAAUUAAAGAAAAAAGAAUAAAAAAUUUAUUUAACCAUAAAAAUAUUAAUAUAAGAUAUGUUAGGAAAUAGAAAUAAUUCAAAAUUUAUUUACUUAUUUCAUUUUAUUUAUUUAAAUUAGAAAAUAAUUUAUUUUAAUAGAUCAAAAUGUGCCCCCUAAUGUUUUACUUUGUUUAAUAGCAAACAUACAAUAUAUUUUAGUUUAUUAUUAUUUUAUAUCCUUAAUAUCAAUUAGAUUGAUAUAAGGAUGUUUGGACAAUUUUGACUUAGGCACAUUUCACCUCAAGCACAACUCUCACCUAGUUCUCAUUGGAUAUUGAAAAUUGUGUAGGAGCUAUCGACACCAUUACAGCCAAACCACAAUAAAGGUGGGACCAGCCGACGAGACCAUAAAUCAUUUCCCUUAGCAGGAAAAAUAUCAGCAAGGAAGAAGGUAAAGUGCUGCAUCAAGAAAAGUAGGAAUUCAGAAAAAGAAGAGACACCUGAGAAUUGCAAUGAAGAAAGCAGAGCUGGUGUUUGUCUCGGUAGCAGGCCGCGGUCACCUUGUAUCAACUGUAGAAUUCGCAAAACGCUUAAUCCAAAGGGAUGAUCGCUUUUCGGUCACCAUCCUCUCCAUCAACUCCCCAUUCGGCCCCGACGCGCAUGGAUACAACAAAUCACACCUUGCUUUUGAACCCGGUCUCAGUUUGAUCGAUCUCCCUCCACAGGAUCCCCCUCCACCUUACCUUAAAAAAUCCAUUGCACAAUUCCUGUCAGUUUACAUCGAGAGUUACAUUCCUCAUGUGAAAGACGCCAUCAUCAACCUCAAAUCAACUCGGCCUCUCGCUGGGGUAGUCCUUGAUUUUAUAUGCAUCUCAAUGAUUGAUGUGGCCAACGAACUGGGUCUUCCCUCAUAUCUGUUUCUAACCUCUGGUGCUGCUCUUGUUAGCCUCAUGCUCUACCUUCCCACCCGCCAUACACAAAUCAGCGCUGCCUUUGAGGACGCGGAUCCUGAGUUGGUGAUUCCAGGUUUCAUAAACCCAGUUCCGGUUAGCGUUUUGCCUGAAGCACUGAGGGACAAGCAUGGUGGUUAUGCCGCUUUUAUAAAGGUUGCUCAGAGGUUUAGAGAGGCUAAGGGCAUUAUAAUCAAUACAUUUACUGAGUUGGAGCCUUUCUUAGUGGGUUCCUUCUCCGACGGCCAAGCUCCUCCAGUGUACACGGUCGGACCAGUGCUUGACCUCGAGGGUCAGGCCCAUUCUAGUGCAGACCGGGCUGACCAUGAUAAGGUCAUGUCCUGGCUUGACACUCAGCCGGAAUCCUCUGUGGUGUUCCUAUGCUUUGGGAGUCUGGGCACCUUCGAUGUACCCCAGGUGAGAGAGAUCGCGCUUGGACUUGAGCGCAGCGGCCACAGGUUCCUGUGGUCUUUACGUCGGCCACCGCCAGAUGGGAAGUUCGGUAGCCCAAGUGAAGGCACGAAUCUGGAUGAGAUGUUGCCAGAAGGGUUCAUGGAGCGGAUCGGAGGAAAAGGAAUGAUCUGCGGUUGGGCACCACAAGUGAAAGUUCUGGCCCACGAAGCCAUUGCUGGGUUUGUAUCCCACUGCGGGUGGAACUCAAUCUUAGAAAGUGUGUGGAACAGUGUGCCAAUAGUCACAUGGCCACUUUACGCAGAACAAAAGUUGAAUGCAUUUGAGAUGGUGAAAGAAUUAGGAUUGGCAGUGGAGAUGAGAUUAGACUCCAGGUACGACGGAGAUGUUGUGAUGGCGGAGGAGAUAGAUGGAGCCGUAAGACGUGUGAUGGAGGCUGAUAGCACAGUUAGAAAGAUGGUGAAAGAGAUGGGAGAGAUGAGUAGGAGGGCUCUGAUGGAGGGUGGAUCUUCAUACAAUUCGUUUGAACGGUUGAUCCAUGCGAUGAUAAAUACCCGGUAAAUAGUACUGUUCCAAAUAUUUUUAAAAAUUAAUUUUAUCUAGGUGUUUUAUUUUCAAUUAUUUUUUAUAUUUAAUCUAUUAUUUUUAAAAUAGCCAAAUUCUAAAUUCAAAACAAAUAAGCACCAACUUAACUCAACUUUUAUGUUACAACUACAAACAAACCAAUUAUAAAUCACCUUAUACUAAAAACUCAAUGGUAAUUUUAAAAAGUGUUUUUACAUUUUUUAACAUUUAAAAUUUUUUAUCAUUUAAGUAUUAAAAUAAUUAAAAGCAUUUUUUAAAAUCACUGUCAAAUUGUAUUCUAAUAAUGCGUUUAACAAUGAUUAUAAGAAGUGUUUAUAAUAUUUUUAAUACUUGAAAAAUGAAAAUUUUUAAGUAUUAUAAAGGUUAGAAACACUUUCUAAAAUUACCAUUAAAUAUAUUCUAAAUCUAGCAAAAAUAAUUAUUUAAACAAAAAUAUUCAAAUAUUUCUUCAUAUUGCAUACAUGUUUUACACAAUUUAGGUAAUAAGUCAUUUCACUUUAAAUAACUAUCAAAUAAGGCACUUGGUUAAAUUAUUGAAAAAUACUACGGUUUUAUAGCGGUAUUUAAUAAAUAAAAUAUCUUAACAAUUGAAUAUAUAUACGUAUGAUAAAAUCUAAACUGUUGAAUAAAGAUAUAACUCAUCAAAAUAUUAAGAUACAAAUAAAUCAUAUAGGGAUGUAAAAAAUAUGACCUAAAAAUAUAUACUUCACACCAUAUGAUUGAUUUUGUUAUGUACAAAAAAUGUCCUUUAAUAUUUUAGCCAAGCCCUCAAUUAUAACAAUAAUUAAUUUAAAUAAUCUACUUCCCCGUUCUGGCCGCCUAUGCAAUGAAGUCCAGGGCCCAGACACCUUUAGCGUCACAUCAUUCUUUAGAUAUUUUAGGUUGCGGGUCCUCUUCCAUACACUUCUGGGACCGUGAUAUUGAUACCUAGAAUUUUAGGGCUUUGACAAUUUGCUUUCUAAAUAAAAUAUCUCUGAAGUUGAUAUAGAAUUUUCUUUCCUCUUUAUGACAAGGGAUUGUGCCAUCUUGAAUGUGUGGAAGUAUGAUCAUGUGGAGGUAUGCCAUCUUGAAUGACGCUGCAUUGUCAUGUUGUGAAUUAUCAAAUAGAUCUUCACAAAAAUCGGGGUGGAGAAAAUUAUUAUAAGAAAAAUCCAAUUUUUUUAUAAUUAAAAAAGUUAUUGAUUCAUGAUUUAAUAGUCGGACUUAUGAUUAAAUUAAUAACGUUAUAAAUAUAUAAUUUAUAUAUCAUUAAAAUUAAAAAUAAUUAUAAAAAAUUUAAAAAAACAUAUAAACAAUUAAAAUUCUAAACAUAUUUCAUCAUUUUAUCAUCAUAAAAAUUAAUAGCUUAUAUUAUGAUAAAAUUAACACAAUAAUUUACUAACUUAUUAGUCAAUUUGAUUUCAUUAAAUAUGUACUUUUAAUGAUUAAGAUAAAAUAAAAUUUUAUUAUUUAAAUUUGUUUGGAUUUCAAUAUUUAAAUAAUUAUUUUCUUCAAAACUAUUAGUUUAUUUAUUUAUUUAUAUAAUUUUGAUAUUUAUUAUAGAUAAAAUAUAAAUAUUUAAUUCAUUUUAAAUUUUACAAAUACAUAUUAGAAGGAGGAAAACCCCACCCCCAAAUCUUAACCUUAAGUUUGUAGUUGUUACACCCCAAAACACACUCCAAGGUCAUGAUAAUUAUUUCACACCUCAAGCCCAAAUGCUCAAAGUGGAAAUGACACAAAUAUUCAUAUUGUAAUUGGAAAUUUACCAAUUACCAAAUUCCUAUUUAGAGUAGUAUGACAAAAUUCUAAAAUUUUCAAGUAUCAACUUUAAAAAAAAAACCUAAUACAUCAACCAAUGUGUUAUUGUCCAAAUAACUCUCAAUUCAAAUAAUUUAAACAGGAAUUAAAAUUUAAUAUCUAAACAAUGUCACAAAUAAAGUUUGAACCAAAAUCCUAAUAAAGAAAAAAUUUCCCAAUUUAGUCAUUACUCCUUGCCCGAACUGAAAGUACCUGAAGAAUUAUCAACGAAGGGGCAUGAGCUUAAAGCUCAAUAAGGAACAUCAAUGCAGUUUCAUGGAUCAAACAUUUUCAAUCAUACUUACAAAUAGGAGAUAUAACAUAUACUUAUUUUUAUAAAAACUUUCGAGUUCAAAAUAUUAAUACAUUCAAACUUUUCAACAAAACUUUCUCAUAUCCAUUUCAAAACAAUUUUUUAUUAAAACCAAAUCGAAUACAUUCAAAAUAUUUUUACUUUGGUUAUCAAAUAACAAAUGGUGUCCGGUUAAGUGAGAUUUUACAAAUGAGGGGUUAGUUUCAAAUUUGUUUCAUUUAAGGUGAACAAAACCAAAUGUCAACAAUUAUAACCCGUUGACUAGGGCCGUAAGGUCAACUAUUAUAACCCGUUAACUAGGAUCAUAAGGUCAACUAUUAUAACCCGCUGAUUAGGGCCGAAAAUGUCAACAAUUAUAACCCGUUGACUAGGGUUAUAUAAUCUAGAGUCAAACAUUUUAUUUCAUUAAUUCAAACUUACAAAACAAAAUAACAUAUCUCCUUAAUUUUUCACUUUUCAUAUAUAAAUAAAGAAAAUUCUCAAAAAAAAUAUUUUUAAUACAAAACACAUAUUUGAUUCAUACGAAAAGAUAAAAGUAAUAUUUUUACACUUUACACAUUUCAAAAUACAAUAUAAAAAGAAAAUUAUUUUCUUCUAUAAAAAUCUGCAUUAAUUUCCCUUACCUUGAAGAAGCAUUCAAAAUCUUGAAGUAUUUAACUCUGAAAAAUUUUCUCCUCACCUAACAUAAUAUCAUACACAAUAUUAAUUAUUGAUUAUUUAUCCAAAUAUAUAAAUUUGAAAAUCCUAAAAAUGUUUUAUUUAGUAUUAGGGAUCCUAAUUAAUUUCUCAUGUUAAUAUUAUUAUUAUCCACUAUUAUUUUUUAACUUACUAAACAAUAAUAAAUUAAUUUAGUGAGUUUCUAAAUUAUUGUAAAAUUCAUUUUCUUUUCUAAUCUUACCCUCACUAUUUAUUUCUUUACAUAAUUAAAUUAAAUUAAAACUUAUAUAGGAAACUAUUAUUAUUAUUAAUAUUUCAUAUGUUAACUUAAAACUAAAUAUUAUAAUUUUUAUUAAUUUUCAAAUUCAAUACAUAACCAACCCAUUAUCCUCCUAUCUUCAUUGCACGCACAAAACCCUAAGAAUAAAAUUGUAAGCCUCAUGUUUCUUCUUAUUAUUUAUUAUUAUAAAAAAUAUAUUUACAUAUACAAUCUUUUCCAAUGCCUAAGUCAACACCUUGGCAACACACGCUUGCUCCAAUUUUUUUUUUUUCCAAAUCUAAAGUCCACACAAAUGAUAUAUUUAUUUAUUUUCUAAAUCUAAAAUUUCUUUUCUUCCAUUGAUUUUUCAUUGAUUUUGUUUGCUGUUUGAUUGAAUUUUUCUAAAUCUUCCUAUUUUCAUCACAAAUUAAUCAACAUUCAUAAAUUUACAGUCUUUUGAUCUAAAAAUUAAUUUAAUAAAUCCCAAUCUAGAUUGAGAUAUUCCAAAAAAAUAUCUAAAGUUUUUAAAACUAAGUAAUGAAUAUAAAAUAUUAAUUUAAGGAUUAAAAUCUUAUCUAAAAAAUUGAUCUUUAAACCCUAAACCUCAAAAUUCUGAGUUCUUUGAUCUUAUGAUCUUUGUGUAAAAGAGUUUUCUAAAUAAAGAAGAUAUGAAAAAUCUAAUUUAUAUCUAGGGAUUUCAAAUAUGAAAAUACAUUUUUACCCUUAUUAAAUUACUUUAACUAAUUAUUAAUUUCUAAAUUAUGAUUUUAUCCCUAAAUUGGGUUUGGGGCAUUACAAUAAUUGUAAAUAUUGAUCGAUAUUUUGCCAAUGACUCGAUGCUUUCACUCCUUAGUCAAUAUUAAAGGAUGAAACAAUUGAAUAUUAAUUUAUUUCCCAACCUUUUCUUUUUAAUAUUAUUGUAUCCUUCAUAAGUUUCUUAACUUUCCAAUUUUAAAUUAUUUUUUAAAAUUAAUAAAUUUUAUAUAUCAAAUAUGUUUUGAUUUAAAUUUAUUUAUCUAAUGAAAAGAUUUAGAAAAGUUUAAAAAACAUUAAAAAAAUGGAUUUUUAGAGAGAUCAUAUUUGAGAUUUUUUAAAAUUGAUUGAUAAAAAGAAUAAAAGAAUAAAUAUAUCCCAUUUUACUUUAUCUAUUUUUUUUAUAAUUUUUGUUAAAAUUAUAAUUUUAUUCCUUCAUAGUUUUCUUCAAGGUUUGAAAUAUUGAUAAAUAUGAAUAUAUUGGUAUUUGGAUUUUACGGAUAUAUGGAGAAUAUCUAAGAAAUAUCAAUAAAACAAAAAUUAUUCAAAAUUCAUGAAAAUAUUUGAAAAAACUAGAAAAAAUGAUAAAUAAAUAAAAAUACAUAUGUUAAAGUUAUUUUUUUAAUUGUAAUUGAUAUAUGUAUGGUUAAAGAAAAAAAUAUUGAUAAGUAAGAAUAUGCUAAUAUUAAUAAUUUAUUAUUUAUCUAAUCAAAUUAAUUUUAAUUUAUAAAAUAUUACAACUUAAUUAUUUUUUUUAUAUUUUAUUAUUAUUUUUAAUAAAUUCAUAUUUUUAAUAAUUUAAAACAAAAAAAAUCAAAAUUAAAUAAAUUUAAAAUGAUAAACAAAAAAAUUUUAAAAGUGAAAUGAUAUUAAUUUUUUUAAAAUAUGAUUAAUGAGAUAAAUGAUGAUGUAUUUAACAUUUAAACUAUAAUUUAUUUAAUUCAAAUGUAUUCUAAUGUAAAAUAAGUGAUGAUGCAUAUAUGAUUUUUUUAAUAUUUUAUUAUUAUAUAAAUAAUAUUGAAAAAUAUUUAUUAAAAAAAUUAUAAUGAUGAUUUUUAUACCUUUAUUAAUUAAUUAAAUAAAAUUUAAAAUAAAAUAAUUAAUUUUUUUUCAAUACUGAAAUUUAACAUAUUUAUUAUUAUCGGAUAUUAAAAUAUGAGAACUUGGUCUACAACCAAGCUUGAGCACAGGCCUUUUGGCCUGGUUCGAAUCCCCUUCGCAGCCCCUUCAAAUUUGAAGCGCGUGGGUAGCUGGGCCGCGUCCCUUUCGCCACUACUUUAAUUUAAAGCUGCCACUUUAAAUUUGAAGCGUAGGUAGCUGGGCAGCGUUGACCGCAGGAGAGUCCGAUAUAUCGGAUUUCCGGCAAAAAAUUGGCGCACCUAUUUUUCCAUUUUUCGUCGAUAUUUCGGUGAAACAUCCCAAUUUUUCAAACACGUUUUCUUUGAUUUUUAAAAAUAAGUGAAAAUAAUUUUAAUUUAUUCUUGGAAAAAUUAUUUUAAAAAACAACCGUAUGAAUAGUGCAUAAAAUUUUAAAUUAUUUAUUUUAUUAGAAAAAGAAUUUUGGAAAACCUGAGAUGGUAUGGGAUAAUAUCAGCGAUGCAAUAUGGAGCUAUCAACACCAUUAGGGCCAGCAGAUAAUAAAGGUGGGACCAUCGAUCAUUUCCCCUAGCAGGAAAAAUAUCAGCAAGAUAAGAGGUAGGUGAAAGGGAUUGUGGUAGGUGGAGGUUAAAUAUUCUUGAUCUGGGGGUAGGAAGAAGAAAAAUUAAAGAGCAGACAACGGAGAUGAAGAAAGCAGAGCUGGUGUUCGUCCCAACUCCCGCUGCUGGUCACUGCAUAUCCGCCAUAGAAUUCGCAAAGCGCUUAAUCCACACGGACGAUCGCUUUUCUGCUACCAUCCUUCAAAUGCGUUCAUUACUCAAUCCUCAUUCAGAUAUAUACAACAAAUCUCUUCUUGCCUCUGAAACCCGUCUCCAUUUAAUUGACCUCCCUCCUAUUGAUAACCCUCCACCCCAUGAUCUCUUCCUCAAAUCCGCAGAACACUACAUACUGCUUUUCAUUGAAAGCUACAUCCCUCACGUCAAAGACGCCAUCACCCACCUCAUGUCAUCUCGCUCUUCCCCAGACUCAGUCCCACUCGCCGGGUUAGUCCUUGAUUUCUUCUGUCUUCCCAUGAUUGAUGUGGCCAACCAACUAGGCCUCCCUUCGUACCUAUACUUCACCUCUGGUGCUGGUUUUCUUGGCCUCAUGCUCUCCCUCCCAACUCGCCAUAGCCAAAUCGGCACUGAGUUUGAAGACUCGGAUCCUGAUCUGGAGCUCCGGAGUUUCGUCAACCCAGUUCCUGUUCGCGUUUUGCCUGAAGCCGUGAGUGACAAGCAUGGUGGUUACGCUGCUUACAUAAAGAUUGCUCAGAGGUUCAGAGAGGCUAGGGGCAUUAUAGUAAAUACGUUUUCUGAGUUGGAGCCUUACGCCGUUGAGUCGUUCGCCGAUGGUCAGACCCCCCCGGUGUACACGGUGGGACCGGUUCUUGACCUCGGGGGUCAGGCUCAUGCCGGUUCAGACCGGGUUGACCGCAGUAAGAUCAUGGGGUGGUUAGACGCUCAGCCAAAAUUGUCUGUGGUGUUCCUCUGCUUUGGAAGCAUAGGGGCCUUCGACGCGCCCCAGGUGAGGGAGAUCGCGCUUGGGCUCGAGCGCAGCGGCCACAGGUUCCUCUGGGCCCUGCGUCUGCCGGGGCCGGAUGGCAAACUCGGUGGAAGCUCUGAUGGCUCGGAACUCAGCGAGAUCUUGCCUGAGGGGUUCCUGGAUCGAAUCGGAGAGAGGGGAAUGAUCUGCGGUUGGGCACCGCAAAUGGAAGUCCUGGCCCACAAAGCUAUAGGAGGGUUCGUAUCCCACUGCGGGUGGAACUCCAUCUUAGAGAGCAUAUGGAACAGUGUACCGAUGGCGACCUGGCCCAUGUAUGCAGAACAACAGCUGAAUGCCUUUGGACUGGUGAAGGAACUGGGAUUAGCAGUGGAAUUGAGACUGGACUAUCGACAGAGUGGGGGAGAAGUGGUAGUGGCGGAAGAGAUAGAUGGUGCAAUAAGAUGUGUGAUGGAGCAUGAUAGCAUGGUGAGGAAGAAGGUGAAGGAAAUGGGAGAGAUGAGCAGGAGGGCUGUGAUGGACGGUGGAUCUUCCUCCAAUUCCCUUGGACGGCUGAUAGCUGAUAUCAUCCCCAUUGACUAGUGUAUCGCUUAAUCUGAUCGUGUGGUUUUUCUCCUUACCUUGAGAAUUCACUGUUAAAUGGUUGAGUUGACUGGGGGUUGGGCAUUGCGAGCCAUGUACGAAUGUGGUCCACCGUCCACCAUACGGUCCAUACCACAGUUAUAUAUUAGAUAUUAUGAGGAUGAACUGUCAAGUCAUCAUUUUAUCUUAUCAAUUCUGAUUUAAGGAGUUCCAACUUCCAAGUGGGUAUGACUCCCAAGUAUAUUGGACUUGAUAAAAAUAUAAAUUGGGGUGGAUAGAACAAAAGAUUGCGUCGUGCAUGCUGAAAUCACGAAAUUGAUAUAAAUAUUUGUAUUUCUUUGCCGAUAUUAUCAAGACUAGAAGGUUAUUUAGACUUUGUUUUGCUCUAUAUUUAAAAUUCAAUACGACAUAUUCAUAGUCCAUUCCUGGUUUUGAUAUUGAUACCUCGACGAGAACAAGCAGCUAUCAUAAUACUUUUAUCUUUGAUUGUAGUUAAUUACAAGGCUAUAUUGGCAUAUGUCAUCCAAAAAUCUUAAUCACAUACUCUGUGUGCAUAUGCAUCUUCGUUGGUUAUUUGAUCCGCUUAAAAAUGUGUUAAGAUUUUAUUUUUUCAAAUAUUGUAGCGUAUGUGUUGGGAAUUUCGUUUUCUUCGGUUGACGAAACAGCAUUGCAUUGCCCUGUUUUGAAUAACAAAGAUAAUGUCCACCAAAAACAGGAGCAGAGAAAAUUAGUAGAAGGAAAAAACGGUGGUCGGAACAAGGAUUUUUUAUAAGAUUAUGGUAGUUUUAAAAAAUAAAUUUUAAAUUAUCGUUAUAUGAAAAAUAAUUCUAAAUCUAUCGUAAUUUUGUCAAAAUAGGAAAUAGAAAAUAAUUUGUAAAUGAAAAAACAUUUCUUCAAAAAACGAUUUAUGUAUCUUGAAAAGACGAUUUUCACUAAAAAAAAUUAAAAAGUGAGAAAUCGUCUUUUUAAAAGACGAUUUCAAAAAAAAAAAAUCAAGUGAGAAAUCUUCUCUUAAAGAGACGAUUUCCAUAAAAAAAAAUUGUGUAUGUGAGAAAUUCUCACUUAAAAGAAAAAAAAAAUCAAAUGAGAAAUCGUUUCUUGAAGAGAUGAUUUUCACACAAAAGUGAGAAAUUUUCACUUAAAAUAAUAAUAAUAAUAAUAAUAAUAAAUAAAAAAAGUCCAAGUGGAAAAUCGUCUCUUCAAGAGACGAUUUCCAUAUCACUUUUAAAAGUUAGAAAUUCUCACUUAAAAUAAAAAUAAAAACCCCUUCAAAAAUCCAUUUUUUCAUUCUUUAUUCUAUUUAUACCAUAAUACAAUUAUUAUAAAUAUAUAUUAUAAAAUUAAUUAAUUUUAUUUACUAAAUUGAAUAUAAGAUAAAUAAUCUAUUAUUUUUUUUCUUACUUUGAAAUUUAAAAAAAAGACUAUUAUCAAUUUAUGUGAAAAAUAAGUUUUAAAAACAAUUGUUAUUAAUUUAUUAAAUAAUUAUUUAGUAUAUUAUUUUAAAAAAACCAAAGGGGAAAUCAUCUCUUGAGACAAUUUCCACAUCAUCUUUAAAAAUGAGAAAUUCUCAGUUUUUUUUUUUAAAAAUCCUUCAAAAAUCCUUUUUUUCAUUCUUUAUUCUAUUUAUAUAAUAAUACAAUUAUUAUUUACUCUUAUAAAAAAUCCGAUGGAACAAGAGGAUGCAUGGCAAUUCCAAACCCCUGUCUAGUCUCUCUUCCACGUUCCCACUCCCUCCCAACCCCAAACCCUAACUCCAUAACCCUUAAUAACGACCGAUAUUUCGCCAACCACCCGACACUUUCACUCAUCGACCAAUGCUCCGAAACGAAACAAUUGAAGCAAAUCCAUGCCCAGAUGCUCCCUACUGGUCCCUUCUUCGACCCCUUCUCCACCAGUAGACUCAUCACCGCCGCCGUUCUUUCCCCCUUCCCCAGCCUCGAUUAUGCCCAGCAAGUGUUCGACCAAAUUCCCCACCGAAAUCUCUACACUUGGAACACUCUCAUUCGCGCUUAUGCUUCCAGUUCUAAUCCCCAUCAGAGCCUCUUAAUCUUCAUACGAAUGCUUCAUUAAUCUCCUGAUUUUUCUGACAAAUUCACUUUACCUUUUCUGAUCAAAGUCGCGUCGGAACUUGAGGAGUUGUUUACAGGGAAGGCUUUUCAUGGAAUGGUGAUUAAGGUGUUGUUGGGUUCGGACGUCUUCAUUCUUAAUUCUCCGAUUCAUUUUUACGCCAAGUGUGGAGAGUUGGGUUUGGGGUAUAGGGUUUUUGUGAAUAUGCCUAGGAGGAAUGUUGUUUCUUGGAAUUCGAUGAUUACAACUUUUGUGCAGGGGGUUGUCCGGAGGAGGCAUUGGAGUUGUUUCGGGAAAUGGAGAGGCAGAAUGUGAAACCUAAUGGCAUAACAAUGGUGGGGGUUUUGGCAGCUUGUUCCAAGAAGUCGGAUUUUGAGUUUGGGAGGUGGGUGCAUUCGUAUAUUGAGAGGAACAGGAUUGGUGGGAGCUUGACUUUGAUUAAUGCUAUGCUUGAUAUGUAUACAAAGUGUGGGAGUGUUGAGGAUGCAAAAAGAUUGUUUGAUAAGAUGUCACAGAAGGAUAUUGUCUCAUGGACGACUAUGCUUAUUGGGUAUGCUAAAAUAGGGGAGUAUGAUGCGGCUCAGGGUAUUUUUGAUGCAAUGCCUAAUCAAGAUACCGCUGCAUGGAAUGCUCUCAUAAUUGCUUAUGAACAGUGUGGUAAGCCAAAUGAGGCUUUGUAGCUUUUCCAUGAAUUGCAGCUGAGCAAAACUGCAAAGCCUGAUGAGGUCACUCUUGUUAACACACUUUCGGCUUGUGCUCAGCUGGGAGCAAUGGAUUUAGGUGGAUGGAUCCAUGUGUACAUAAGGAAGCAUGGAAUGAAGUUAAACUGCCAUCUCAUUACCUCACUUAUUGACAUGUACUGUAAGUGCGGGGAUCUGUAGAAGACACUUGUGGUAUUUCAUUAAGUGGAAAUGAAAGAUGUGUUUGUUUGGAGUGCCAUGAUUGCAGGUUUGGUAAUGCAUGGGCAUGGGAAGGAUGCAAUAGAUUUGUUUUCAAAAAUGCAAGAGGCUUAGGUCAAGCCCAAUGCUGUGACUUUUACUAAUAUACUAUGUGCUUGUAGCCACGCGGGAUUAGUGGAGGAAGGCAGGACUUUCUUCAAUCAAAUGGAGCUGGUUUAUGGGGUUUUGCCUGGAGUCGAGCAUUAUGCUUGUAUGAUUGAUAUUCUUGGUCAAGCAAACCUGUUGGAAGAAGCUGUGGAAUUGACAGAGAAAAUGCCAAUGGCCCCAACUGCUUCUAUAUAGGGGGCCCUGCUUGGAGCCUGUAUUCAUCCUGAUUCCACAACAGCACAUCUACGAGUUUAGCGUUCAUCGUAUCUUCCCAAUCCAGAGCCAUACCAAAUUGUGUAGAAACCCAUCCAUCCCUAGUUAGCUCUACUCAUCUCGGGCUCCUUUAGAAUGCUUCUUCUACUCAUUUCUCGGAAUUGAAGCCUCUAUAUAGAACCCAUUCAUGUCCUGAGUAGCAACAACCAGUAGUUGCAUCUUUAUCAGGUCUCAUUGUCGUCUUUCUCAUUUCUGUGUUCGCAUGGCUUGUGUGGGGGGUAUCCCUCCACAUGUCAUUCUCAAACUUAAGACCCCUUAGCUGACCAGGACAAAACACAUAACCCAUUUGGGAUCACCUCGUUUGGACCAAGAUAAAUUCUGUUUAACACCAGAAGUGAGAUGUUUCCUUUCUUCCACAAGCCCAAACAUAAUAGACAGGCUGGGCUCAUUAGACUCUUAGACGGGAAAAUUAAUCCAGUCAAGUCCUCAAGAUUUCUGGCAUGCGUGAUCAACCACGCCUGAUGUUUAAGCACCAGCCCAGACACCUGACAUUUGAGUGGCGGACAGGACUCUAUUUAUACCCAAUAGUCAAUGUCAAUUAAUUGUUACAUAUAAUCCCAUACAUUGGUAGGCUAAAUGGAUAGUUAGCUACAUAGUUCGAGAUUUUGGCAUGUUAGCAGUUGGCACCAAUUAGCCGCCCUUAUCUGAUAUGAUUGGCUAGCGGCCCUAAGGGCAAUCAUCAUUAUAAGAAACGCUAGAGUGCAUAGUCAACACUACAGUAACGGUGUCAUAAGCUCUAUAUAAACCCCUCAAAAAGCAUUAAUAAGGCACACACGCAUAUACGCUCAUUCUCUCACACAAAAUAGUUAGAGUUAUCCUUGUCUGACUUAAGCUUCAAAGGGGUCUGUCUGGACCACCCAUCCGGACAUCCUUUUGUGCAGGGAAGAAGUCUAUCUGAUUCUAGUGCAGUUGGACGAACUCCUCAAAAACCAUGAAGAAGGGAAGAAGUCUGCCUAACUCCAGUGAAGUCUGAUGAACUUGACUCUGGUUGGCUCGACACCAAUAGCAUUCAUGGCCACCCCAAAGCCUAUCCACAACCCUCCACCAAAAUACCUCAUCUAUCAAAUUUGAAUCUCAAGCCACAUAACUCCGCACCUACUCUAUGCCUAAAAAAAAAAAACACCUUAUAGCCAAUUCACCAUUGCCUCGAUCCUUUGUACCCAUCGAAUUGAUCACCACACCACACUCGACUUAUCCUUCAUACCAUACUCACCACCAUCAACCUAACCCACAUUGCCCACCAAGCACUCCUCAUUUUCCACACAACACUGGCUACUGUUUAACAUGACAUUAUUACCGAUUGAGAGACUUCCAGUAAAUCUCCAAUUGAUUUUGGUUUGGACGAAGGCUACUAAUCUAGACCCGAAAACCAUCUUUGUUGAUUGUUCCUUGCGCUUCGGUGGGUCUCUAGAGUUUAGAUGAAGCUGGAAAACUGGUGAAGCAAGGGGUGCUUAAGCCUGAGGAUUUCAUAUUCUUUGUUGGAUAUGUUGGGUGGCAGUUGGAUCAGUUGAGAGAGGAGAUGGGAUCAGACUAUGGGUAUGUGGCUGCAUAUAGCCCAUACGUGAUCGAUGGGGUCUUAACAGAGUCUUCCUCUGGUGUAUGGGAUGAGGUUUUUGUAGUCAAAAGGGAAAUCAUUAUUUUGAACUGAACCCGAUGCCUAAGCAGGAUAUGUAGUCAGUUUUGAGCCUACAGAAUUUAAGAAAUUGCUCGCCAAUCGGGGAGGAUAUUACGUCAACUUGUGAUGAUAGAAGCUUGGAUUCUCAUGUGGCACAAGGAGAGAAGACAAAAUGAAUGAUCAAACUCAAAAGGACAAGCCCUUGUUCCUGCCAACUUAUCUCUAUCUUUGGGACCCAUUCUCUCUCUCUAGCAUGGCAUGCAUGGCCACUCUAAAAGCCUACGCGUCUCACUCCUUAUAUUUUCAUGCAUGCCUUCAAAAACUGAUUUUCAAAAAUCUUGUUUUGAAAUAAUUUUAAUUCUUCAAUUUUUCUUUCUUGAUUUUAAAUAAAUCCAAUUUUAAUAAAUCAAUAGCUACCAUUUUCCACUAGGCAUGCAUUUUUUUUUCCUUGAUUUUUAAUAAUUUUCAAUUUUCAUGUUUUGAAUGAGCAUGAAUAAAAUUCUAUAAUUCAAAAUAAUGGAAUUUAUGAAAUUAAUUCAUGCUAAAAUAAAUCGGGCUUUGGCGGGGCCCAACAUAUGGGAUUUUCUCGUUCGUUGAUUGAUUGCUGUGCUUGAUUGACUUGCUUUGCUUUGUGACAUAUGCGAUUAUUCUGUAUUCGUUUACUAACCUUUGUUUUCCAUGAAGCAAUCAACUCACUACUCAAGUACACACAUUGAUUUUCUUAUUCAUUUGAUUAUUUUUAGAUUGAUAUUAUUUUAAUAUCCAUAUUUAAUCUAUCAAUUACCACACUUGCUUUAACUUAAUUAGUAGAGACCUAAUUCUUAGGACUAAGAGGGGUGUUAUGGCCUAUCACUAUACCUUCCCAAUAGGUAACCUGACUCCUAAACCCAUACUCAGUUUUUCACAGACCUAUUUUUCCUUUAGGAGUCACAUUUAAGGGUUUUCUUUCUUAUUUUGUUUUUCCCUUUUAAAAUAAAACAAAAAUAAGUGGUGACUCCAAAAACUUUUAAAAAAUCAAUUUUAAAAAUAACAAGCAAGUCUCGCCAUAAUGGAAACGCAUGCGUAGAAACGCGGGGUCCCUCCCGGCGCACACUUACAUAUAUAUUAUGUAAUGACCAAAUUAAUUUUGGGGGUAAAAUACCAAAAAAAAGUAAUUAAAUAUUUUUAGUAAGGGUAGAAAGGUCAUUUUAUAAUUAACAAUCCUAGGUAUAAAUUAUAUUUCUUUUUCUUUUUUGUCUUUUCUAUUUAGAAAACUUUACUAACAAAAAAUAAAAAAAUUGUAGAACAUAAGACUGAAGGUUUGAAGGUCGCAUUUUUUCAGGUAAAAUUUUAAUCCCUAAAUUAAUAUAUUAGAUUCGUUAGUUAGUUUUGAACACAUUCAAUAUUCUUUAGAAAUUUUCAAUUUAGACCAAAGCCAAUUUAUUUAAUUUUUCUUUUAAGAUCAAAAUAUUGAAAAAUUAAGAGUAUGGGUUGAUUUAUCGAUGAAAAUUGAGAAAUUUUGAAAGUCAGGAAAUUUUAAGUUUUCAGAUGAAUAAACCUAAAAUAAAAUAAAAUAAUAAUAAUAAUAAUUUGUGACUUAAUGCACGCUAGAAGUGUGUUAAUAUAAUUUAUAUACUUAUAAAGGCUUUGAUGCACUGUACAUUUGGGGGUAAUUUGGAGAAAGAAAAUAAUAAAUAAAUAAAAUAAAAACUAUUUUGCAGGAAAGUGAUUUUAGUGGAAGGCACAACUUUUAUGAAAAUUCGGGAGACUCACUCUUUAAAUUAUUAUUGAUUAGAAAGUCAAAAACAAUAUAGAUGAUAAAAGAAAUAGUCAACAUAGGAUUUUUUUUUAUUUCAAUACUUAAAUAAUUACUUUCAUCAAAAUUAUUAAUUUUUUUAUUUAUAUAAUUUUGAUAUUUAUUACAGAUAAAACAUAAAUAUUUAAUUCAUUUUAAAUUUUGCAAAUAUAUAUACAUACACACGGGGGUUGAAGAGAUGGGCUUGGGCUUAAUGAUUUGGGCUAACAACUAAGUUUUGGAAAAAGGGGGAAAUAAUAGGUUGGACCGAUAGUUGGGCUAAUUCAAUGCUUGUUCAACUCAGUUUUGGGAGGCUCCAAUCGAUGGUCCAAUUGGUUGAACUCAAUUCAAUUCGAUUUUUUAAGUUUGGUAAACACCAAUUGGUGUAUUGGAACGAGGAGGAAAACCUUAGCUCCAUUACACUCAAUAUUCAUCGAUAUUUUGCGAAUCGCUGGAUACUAUCACUCCUCAACCGAUGCUUGGAAAGGAAACAAUUGAAUAUUCUUCCUCGAUCUCCUCUUUUUAAUAUUAGUUGAUCCGUUAUAAGUUUCUUAACUUGGAUUGGAUUUUUAAUUUUUAAUUAUUUUUAAAAAUUAGUAAAUUUUAUGUAUCAAAUAUGCUUUGAUUUAAAUUUAUUUAUCUAAUAAAAAAAUAGAAAAGUUAAAAAAUAAGAAAAAAUUAUUUUAGAGAGAUCAUAAUUGAGUUACUUUAUCUAUUUUUUAUUUAUUUAUAAUUUUUGUUAAAAUUAAUAAAUUAUACCUUGAUAGUUUUCUUUGAUUUUUAAAAUAAGUGAAAUAGGUAAAAAACUUGUUAGUUUCUUGUUGGAGGCUUUUUUUUUUUUUUUUAUUCAUAACUAAAUAAAAUUGUAUUUAUAUUGAAUUUUGGAGGAUAACAAUUUAGUAAUGGGAGAUUAAGUAGUGAUAUUUUAUAUUAUUAAAAUAUAUAAUUUAUAAUAAAUAAAAAUAAUAUAUUAUUUAAUUUCAUAUUCUUUUUUUUUUAUAUCAAUAGUAUUUUAAAAUAUAGAAUAAUAAUUUUUAGUUUUUAAUCAAUCAUUUAAUAAAAAUUAAUUCUUAUGAUAUAAGGAAGCUGAGUAUAUUUUGAAUUCUAAUUUUAUUAUAUUAGAUAACUAAAAACAAAAUAAUUAAUUUCAAUAUAAAUCAAUUAAAAAUUGCAUUUUGAUUUAGUGUAAUUCUCAUAAAUAAAUUAAAAUAGAUUUUUAUUUAAAAUAUUUAUUUACUACAUGAAAGAACUAAGGAUAAAAAAUUUACUAACAAAAAUUCUUAUUUUAUAAAAUGGAUAAAUAUGAAAUAAAAAAGUUAUUAAAUUGUUAAAAUAAAUUUAUUAAAUUUGAAUUUUAUAAAUUAAUUGAAAUUGAUAUUUUAUAAUUUUGAUUUUACUGUAUCAAGGAUUUAAUUCAAAAGAAGUGCUCUGAUUUUUUUUUAAAUGAAAUUUUAUUAUAAAAUUCAUUCAAUAAUAAAAAUAUUAGUUUUAUAAAAAAAAGUUUAAAAUUGAAUACAAAAAAUUAUAAAUAAUUUAUAAUCUAAUUUCAUCUUUUUUUUAAUGUGAGGGUAAAUUUUGAAUAUCUUGAAGACUUUAAUUUUGCCAAUUACUAUAUAUAUAUAUAUUUCGUAACAAUUUAAGAAAUAAUAAAUAUCAUGUGUCUAAUUUGCAAGUUAGAAAAAAAAAAUUUUAUAAGGUGUUUAAUUUUUUUAAUAUAUAUGAAAAAAAAUGUACAACAUGCUUAUUAUUUUGUAAGUGAGAAACACAAAAAAAAAAAUCAAAAUAAUGUAGGUUUGAAAUAAUGAAUAAUAUUUAUUAUACAUUAAGUAAGUUUCUAAGGUUUUUUUUAAAAUUUUUUUAAGGUAUUUAAAAAAAUAUUUAUUAUAUAUUAUGUAUUUUUUGAAAAAAAAUAAUAAUAUUUGAUGAGUGUUUAAAAAAUAUUUACUUUUAAAAUGUAUUUGAUAAUAAUUUUUGCAAUCAUUUAUCUCUAAUAUUUAAUUUGUUAGAGAAAAAUGAUUAGAAAAUCAUUCAAUUUGGUCUUACUACUAAAUAAACAAGAGAAUGGAGAGAUAGAAAAAACGAGAAUAUGGUUUUUUUAUUUAAGGAAAAAGGGUAUUUUAGGGGAUUUUUUUAAUUGAACCAAAGGGAAUUAUGUAAAUAUGAUCAAUUUACAAAAUAUAGAUGAAAGGAGAAGUUAAAAAAAAUAAUUAUCAUUUUAUGCUUGGGAAUGGUGCCCACUUAGCAUUAUUCCAAACUAUCCGUACAUAUGUUUUGGUCUUAAAAUAACACUAUUUUAAUUUUAAAGUAAUAUUACUUUGCUAUGAAAGUAACACUCUUUUAAACUUAAGGUACCUUUGCUAAUUGAAUGAUGUACCAUCACAUAUAAGGGCAUUUUAGGAUAAUAUAAGGUAAGACAUUAAAAUGCACUCUUGGGGUUUUCUUUUCAUCCGGAUUUUGUAAACAAGUCAUGUUUACAUAGUUCCCCAUAGAAAUAUUAUUCACCUUUCUAUUUUAUCAUUAAGUUUUGAAUUCGAAUUUGUGUGAUGGGAGGACAUUGGGCAAUUAUGUGGCCCAAGCACAAUUCUCCAUGUCAAAGUCAAUAAAGGUGGGAACAACCGAUUAGCAGGAAAAAUAUAACGAAGAAGGUCGCUGCACGGAGAGAAGUAAGAAGAAGAGACUAGACAACUGAGAAUUGCAAUGAAGAAAGCAGAGCUGGUGUUUGUCCCAGUAGCAUUCCGCGGUCACCUUGUAUCAACUGUAGAAUUCGCAAAACGCUUAAUCCAAAGGGAUGAUCGCUUUUCAGUCACCAUCCUCUCCAUCAACUCCCCAUUCGGCCCCGACGCGCAUGGAUACAACAAAUCACACCUUGCUUUUGAACCCGGUCUCCGUUUGAUCGAUCUCCCUCCACAGGAUCCCCCUCCACCUCACCUUAAAAAAUCCAUUGCACAAUUCCUGUCAGUUUACAUUGAGAGUUACAUUCCUCAUGUGAAAGACGCCAUCAUCAACCUCAAAUCAACUCGGCCUCUCGCUGGGGUAGUCCUUGAUUUUGUAUGCAUCUCAAUGAUUGAUGUGGCCAAUGAACUGGGUCUUCCCUCAUAUCUGUUUCUAACCUCUGGUGCUGCUCUUGUUAGCCUCAUGCUCUACCUUCCCACCCGCCAUACACAAAUCAGCGCUGCCUUUGAGGACGCGGAUCCUGAGUUGGUGAUUCCAGGUUUCAUAAACCCAGUUCCGGUUAGCGUUUUGCCUGAAGCACUGAGGGACAAGCAUGGUGGUUAUGCCUCUUUUAUAAAGGUUGCUCAGAGGUUUAGAGAGGCUAAGGGCAUUAUAAUCAAUACAUUUACUGAGUUGGAGCCUUUCUUAGUGGGUUCCUUCUCCGACGGCCAAGCUCCUCCAGUGUACACGGUCGGACCAGUGCUUGAUCUCGAGGGUCAGGCCCAUUCUAGUGCAGACCGGGCUGACCAUGAUAAGGUCAUGGCCUGGCUUGACACUCAGCCGGAAUCCUCUGUGAUGUUCCUAUGCUUUGGGAGUCUGGGCACCUUCGAUGUACCCCAGGUGAGAGAGAUCGCGCUUGGACUUGAGCGCAGCGGCCACAGGUUCCUGUGGUCUUUACGUCGGCCACCGCCAGAUGGGAAGUUCGGUAGCCCAAGUGAAGGCACGAAUCUGGAUGAGAUGUUGCCAGAAGGGUUCAUGGAGCGGAUCGGAGGAAAAGGAAUGAUCUGCGGUUGGGCACCGCAAGUGAAAGUUCUGGCCCACGAAGCCAUUGCUGGGUUUGUAUCCCACUGCGGGUGGAACUCAAUCUUAGAAAGUGUGUGGAACAGUGUGCCAAUAGUCACAUGGCCACUUUACGCAGAACAAAAGUUGAAUGCAUUUGAGAUGGUGAAAGAACUAGGAUUGGCAGUGGAGAUGAGAUUAGACUCCAGGUACGACGGAGAUGUUGUGAUGGCGGAGGAGAUAGAUGGAGCCGUAAGACGUGUGAUGAAGGCUGAUAGCACAGUGAGAAAGAUGGUGAAAGAGAUGGGAGAGAAGAGUAGGAGGGCUCUGACGGAGGGUGGAUCUUCAUACAAUUCGUUUGAACGGUUGAUCCAUGCGAUGAUAAAUACCCGGUAACUAGUACUUGCUUAUUGUCUUUCUAUUAUCAAUUCCAGAUGUUUGGAAGUGACUAAGGGUCCUCCAUAAAAUUAUUCUCAAAAAAUUAUUUUUGAGAACAGUUUUUAAUUGUAUUUUAUUUUUUAGAAUAAAGACCUGACAACAGUUUUUAAUUGUGUUUUAUUUUUUAGAAUAAAGACCUAUUUGGAAUUUGGAAUGCUUUCUAACUUAUAUUUUGUAUUUUUAAAAAUUAAUUUUAUAUCUAAGUGUUUUAUUUUCAAUUAUUUUUUUAUAUUUAAUCUAUUGUUUUUAAAAUAGUCAAAUUCUAAAUUUAAAACAAACCAACACUUAACUCAACUCUUAUGUAUAACUAGAUAUAAAACACAUUAUACUAAGAACCCAUUUGAUAGUGAUUUUAGAAAAUAUUUUUAUAUUUUUUAACUGUUAAAAUGGUUAGAAAUAUUUUUAAAAAUCACCAUCAAAGUGUAUUUUAAGAGUACGUCUGACAGUAAUUAUAAGAAAUAUUUAUAACAUUUUUAACACUUAGAAAAUGCAAAUUUUCAUAUAAAUAUUUUAAACGCUUUUUAGAAUCUCUAUCAAACGCACUCUAAAUCUAACAAAAAUAAUCAUUUGAAAAAAAACCGUUCAAAUAUUUCUUCAUGUUGCAUACAUGUUUUACACAAUUUAGGUAAUGAGUCAUUUCACUUUAAUUAACUAUCAAUAAGAUAAGGCACUUGGUUAAAUUAUUGGAAAAUACUAUAAUUUUGUGGUGUUUAAUGAAUAAAAUAUUUGAACCAUUGAAUAUAUAUAUGAUAAAAUCUAAACUAUUGAAUAAGGAUAUAACUUUAUUAAGACCAAAAUAUUAAGAUACAAAUAAAUCAAAUAAGGAUGUAAAAAAUAUAACCUAAAAAUAUAUACUUCACACCAUAUGAUUGAUUUUGUUAGGUACAAAAAAAAAAGUCCUUUAAUAUAUUAGCCAAACCCUCAAUUAUAACCAUAAUUAAUUUAAAUAACAAAAACAUGUCCCUUCCACAUGCUAUUUAUUUUUAUUUUUAAUGAAAAGAAACUAUAGAAUAUCUACCUAAGGGAUUGAAAGACGAAUCAUGAACCGUAAUGUUACAAGAAACCAAUGGAGCUCAAUUUGGUGGAGUCUUGCUGGUAGGGAGAGGAUCCGCACCCUCCUCUCAUGUUCGUUUCUAAUCCACUUCCCCGUUCUUGCUGCCUAUGCAAUGAAGUCCAGAGAGUGUCACAUCAUUCUUUAGAUAUUUUAGGUUGCGGGUCCUCUUCCAUACACUUCUGGGACCGUGAUAUUGAUACCUAGAAUUUAAGGGCUUUGACAAUUUGCCUUCUAAAUAAAAUAUCUCUGAAGUCUGAUAUAGGAAUUUCUUUCCUCUUUGUGACAAGGGAUUGUGCUAUCUUGAAUGUGUGGAAGUACGAUCAUGUGAUUUAGCAGAAAUUAUGGAGGUUAAAUAUUCUUGCACCUGGGGGUAGGAAGCAGAAAGAUUAAAGAGCAGACAACGGAGAUAAAGAAAAUAGAGCUGGUGUUCGUCCCAACUCCCGCCGCUGGCCACUACAUAUCCGCCGUGGAAUUCGCAAAGUGCUUAAUCCACACGGACGAUCGCUUUUUCUGUUACCAUCCUCCAAAUGAGUUGAUCACUCAAUCCUUAUCCGGAUAUAUACAACAAAUCUCUUCUUGCCCCUGAAACCCGUCUCCAUUUCAUUGACCUCCCUCCUAUCGAUCACCCUCCAUCCCAUCACCCCAUGAUAUCUUCCUCAAAUCCAUUGAACACUACACAUUGUUUUCAAUUGAAAGCUACAUCCCUCACGUCAAAUACGCCAUCACUCACCUCAUGUCAUCUCGCUCUUCCCCACACUCAGUCCCACUCGCCGGGUUAGUCCUUGAUUUCUUCUGUCUGCCCAUGAUUGAUGUGGCCAACCAACUAGGCCUCCCUUCUUACCUAUACUUCACCUCUGGUGCUGGUUUUCUUGGCCUCAUGCUCCCCCCCUCAACUCGCCAUAGCCAAAUCGACACUGAGUUUGAAGACUCGGAUCCUGAUCUGGAGCUCCCGAGUUUCGUCAACCCAGUCCCUAUUCGCGUUUUGCCUGAAGCCUUGAGUAACAAGCAUGGUGGUUAUGCUGCUUUCAUAAAGUUUGCACAGAGGUUCAAAGAGGCUAAGAGUAUUAUAGUAAAUACGUUUUCUGAGUUGGAGCCUUAUGCCGUUGAGUCGUUCGCCAAUGGUCAGAGCCUCCCCCCCCCCCCCCCCCCAAAANNNNNNNNNNNNNNNNNNNNNNNNNNNNNNNNNNNNNNNNNNNNNNNNNNNNNNNNNNNNNNNNNNNNNNNNNNGUUUUUCCCGAAACCCUUGGUAAACAACCGGGGGGGUUUUGUGGUUUUAAAAAAUUUUCCCCGGGGUUUAAAAGGGGGCAAGGUUUUUUUAAAAAACAAUUUUUUGGGGUGGGGCCCUUUCCCCGUGGGUUUUUUCCCCAAGGUUAGGACCCCCCCCCCCCCCCCCCCCCCCCCCCCCCACGCCUCGGUGUACACGGUAGGACCGGUUCUUGACCUCGGGGGUAUGUCUCAUUCCGGUUCAGACCGGGUUGACCACAGUAAGAUCAUUGGGUGGCUAGACGCUCAGUUGGAAUUGUCUGUGGUGUUCCUCUGCUUUGGAAGCAUGGGUACCUUCGACGCGCCCCAGGUGAGGGAGAUCGCGCUUAGGCUCGAGCGUAGCGGCCACAGGCUCUCCUGGGCGUCUGCUGAGGCUGGAUGGCAAACUCGGUGGAAGCUCUAAUGGCAUGGAACUCAGUGAGAUCUUGCCUGAGGGGUUCCUGGAUCGAAUCGGAGAAAGGAGAAUGAUCUGUGGUUGGGCACCGCAAAUGAAAGUCCUGGCCCACAAAGCUAUAGGAGGGUUCGUAUCCCACUAUGGGUGGAACUCCAUCUUAGAGAACAUAUGGAACAGUGUACCGAUGACAACCUGGUCCAUGUAUGCAGAACUGUUACAAUAACUAUGGACUCACAUAUAUUAAUAAUUGUUUAUGAUUAAACUAUCUAUACAUAUUCAAUUUAUAUUUAUUAAGUAUGAGUCACCUUAUGUGUAGAGCCCAAGUCACAUGUGUCUUACACGAUGGACCUAAGACACAUGUGGCCCAACAACCCAAUGGGUAUAGUCCCUAAGGCAUAGAGGAAUAAUUAAUAAAAGGGAAAAGGAAAU
RNAcentral lists this long non-coding RNA (26322 nucleotides) under Vitis vinifera (wine grape). Its description in RNAcentral is "long non-coding RNA (VVIN_LNC001757)". Lineage: Eukaryota; Viridiplantae; Streptophyta; Magnoliopsida; Vitales; Vitaceae. The record is from RNAcentral.